RNAcentral lists this ribosomal RNA (704 nucleotides) under uncultured bacterium. RNAcentral describes it as "bacterial SSU rRNA". It matches the Rfam family "Bacterial small subunit ribosomal RNA", at positions 67 to 747 of the family's 1533-position model. The record is from RNAcentral.
CGCUUCUUUCUCCCGAGUGCUUGCACUCAAUUGGAAAGAGGAGUGGCGGACGGGUGAGUAACACGUGGGUAACCUACCCAUCAGAGGGGGAUAACACUUGGAAACAGGUGCUAAUACCGCAUAACAGUUUAUGCCGCAUGGCAUAAGAGUGAAAGGCGCUUUCGGGUGUCGCUGAUGGAUGGACCCGCGGUGCAUUAGCUAGUUGGUGAGGUAACGGCUCACCAAGGCCACGAUGCAUAGCCGACCUGAGAGGGUGAUCGGCCACACUGGGACUGAGACACGGCCCAGACUCCUACGGGAGGCAGCAGUAGGGAAUCUUCGGCAAUGGACGAAAGUCUGACCGAGCAACGCCGCGUGAGUGAAGAAGGUUUUCGGAUCGUAAAACUCUGUUGUUAGAGAAGAACAAGGACGCUAGUAACUGAACGUCCCCUGACGGUACCUAACCAGAAAGCCACGGCUAACUACGUGCCAGCAGCCGCGGUAAUACGUAGGUGGCAAGCGUUGUCCGGAUUUAUUGGGCGUAAAGCGAGCGCAGGCGGUUUCUUAAGUCUGAUGUGAAAGCCCCCGGCUCAACCGGGGAGGGUCAUUGGAAACUGGGAGACUUGAGUGCAGAAGAGGAGAGUGGAAUUCCAUGUGUAGCGGUGAAUGCGUAGAUAUAUGGAGGAACACAGUGGCGAAGCGGCUCUCUGGUCUGUACUGACGCU